This 433-nucleotide ribosomal RNA is filed under the name uncultured bacterium. Its description in RNAcentral is "bacterial SSU rRNA". It matches the Rfam family "Bacterial small subunit ribosomal RNA", at positions 337 to 787 of the family's 1533-position model. The record is from RNAcentral.
UCCUACGGGAGGCAGCAGUGGGGAAUCUUAGACAAUGGGGGCAACCCUGAUCUAGCCAUGCCGCGUGAGUGAUGAAGGCCUUAGGGUCGUAAAGCUCUUUCGCCUGUGAUGAUAAUGACAGUAGCAGGUAAAGAAACCCCGGCUAACUCCGUGCCAGCAGCCGCGGUAAUACGGAGGGGGUUAGCGUUGUUCGGAAUUACUGGGCGUAAAGCGCGCGUAGGCGGAUUAGAAAGUUGGGGGUGAAAUCCCGGGGCUCAACCCCGGAACUGCCUCCAAAACUGCUAGUCUAGAGUUCGAGAGAGGUGAGUGGAAUUCCGAGUGUAGAGGUGAAAUUCGUAGAUAUUCGGAGGAACACCAGUGGCGAAGGCGGCUCACUGGCUCGAUACUGACGCUGAGGUGCGAAAGUGUGGGGAACGGAGCGGGCCUGGUUUCU